AGUAUUACAGCUGUUUAACAGUAUUUUCAUUUAAACUGUGAUUGAAUUUACAGGCAGGAGGUUUUGCCACUGUAUAUCAUGUGUUUUCACAGUAAUUCAUUGUGAAAUGGCAUCAUGGGAUUGCACGGGUGUAUUUAUGUUUGAAAUGGACAUGAACACUGAAGAGUCAUCAUUCAAAAUUGUUGAUGCUUGUUUCAGGCGGGAACGAGGCAGCAAAAAGCGUGAUGGGUCUUGGCUGGACUGCAAGGUGGUGGGACGAAUCCUAAACAAACUUAAAGGUAUCGGCAACAGAAGCUGAUGUUGAAAAAAGUUUCACUCUUCCAGACUCUCCAAGACUGAUCGUCCAAGGUGAAAUCCCUACUGCAACUCAGUGGAUGCUGAGUAUUGAAGGUCAGGUGGGUGUGAAUCCAAACCCCAACCUUGUGGCUGGAUUUACAGCUUUGUUUGCAUCUUACUACAACUUCAACCUGGUUUACCAGGAGGAGGCAUCCUCCACACUUGAAUUUGUUCAAAGCUGUUUUGUUGGAAUCAACCCUCCCACUGGCACCAAGGCAGCCAUGGGUUGGAGGCAAAAAAGUAGAAAAGCCUCUGAGAAGAGAAACAGUCAACCCUCAUGUGUGUACUCUUCUCAGAAAAUUAAUGGACUUUGAAGGGUUAUGCAUCGGAUUGGCUGCGUGAGCGCAAUGCUGUGUACCCAAUACUGGUCGGUGCAGGGCGGAGACGCAGCGUACGGACAUCGCCCCAGAAGAAGUCGGCAACCAUAAAAGCGCAAACGUCGUAGCAACUCAUUGUUGGGUUGUUGGUUGGCGAGUUGUUGGAGAGUUAUGGGAGAAUUGUUAAAAAGUGAUCUGCUGUGUAUUUUGCCGGUGCGAUUUAUGUUUGUGAUGUUUAAUAUUGUUCUACAUACUGGGCUGGAAGAGGUAAGAAGGAGUGCGCUCAUACAUUGUUCACCACGUAGUAUACUUCCGUGUCUAGAGACCUCAGGUAAGGGGCGGUGCCUCCCCCUGUAUUCUAGUUAGUGAGGGAAGUAUAGCGUAGUUAGGAUUUUGGUUUCACUUUUGUUUGUAGAUGAGCGGGACUAAUAUAAAGCAGUGUUAAUUAAGCUGGUUUUGAAUUUGUUUUUCUUUUCUUUGGUGCCGCCGAAUUUCCAGUCCUGCCUUUUGUAGAAGCACAAGCCAUUUGUAUAUAUGUGUAUAUAUUACUGUAAAUACAAUUGCCACGUUGUACAGUAAAGAAAAACUUCAGCACAAGCAUUGUGUCCGCCCAUGUCAUUACUGUUGUCGGCAAUUUAAAGUAAUUAUCACACUGAACCAGUUAGUCUGUUCCUUCAAUUCACAUCCACAUUGGUCAUCACUAGUUGCUGACUCCGAGAACUCCUUAGACGUAACUCGGGGUCAUAACGGGUGGGGGCUCGUCCGGGAUAUUUAAAAGCGGUGAUUAUUGUGUGUAGUGAGUGGAAGGGCUCAUUGUGUGUUCUUCUUUUUAUAGACACUAUGGUUGUGUUUAAGCUACAAGCCUUCUUAAGUGCUCCCUCUCUAGAGAGGUUGGA
Long non-coding RNA from Tachysurus fulvidraco (yellow catfish), 1549 nucleotides. RefSeq lists it as uncharacterized. Lineage: Eukaryota; Metazoa; Chordata; Actinopteri; Siluriformes; Bagridae. The record is from RefSeq and is a predicted model, not a curated record. The transcript has 6 exons.